This 22-nucleotide microRNA is filed under the name Schmidtea mediterranea. Its description in RNAcentral is "sme-miR-71a-1-3p". Its record names the gene sme-miR-71a-1-3p. The record is from miRBase by way of RNAcentral. Lineage: Eukaryota; Metazoa; Platyhelminthes; Tricladida; Dugesiidae.
UCUCAUUGCCAAUGUCUUUUAA